Molecule: ribosomal RNA, 303 nt
Filed under: Macrococcoides caseolyticum
Lineage: Bacteria; Bacillati; Bacillota; Bacilli; Caryophanales; Staphylococcaceae
Description: bacterial SSU rRNA
Rfam family: Bacterial small subunit ribosomal RNA
Source: RNAcentral
CUCUGUUGUAAGGGAAGAACAAGUACGUGUAGUAACUGAACGUACCUUGACGGUACCUUACCAGAAAGCCACGGCUAACUACGUGCCAGCAGCCGCGGUAAUACGUAGGUGGCAAGCGUUAUCCGGAAUUAUUGGGCGUAAAGCGCGCGUAGGCGGUCUCUUAAGUCUGAUGUGAAAGCCCCCGGCUCAACCGGGGAGGGUCAUUGGAAACUGGGAGACUUGAGUGCAGAAGAGGAGAGUGGAAUUCCAUGUGUAGCGGUGAAAUGCGCAGAGAUAUGGAGGAACACCAGUGGCGAAGGCGGC